CUUCGGAUUGUAAAGCCCUGUUUUCUAGGACGAUAAUGACGGUACUAGAGGAGGAAGCCACGGCUAACUACGUGCCAGCAGCCGCGGUAAUACGUAGGUGGCGAGCGUUGUCCGGAUUUACUGGGCGUAAAGGGUGCGUAGGCGGAUGUUUAAGUGGGAUGUGAAAUCCCCGGGCUUAACCUGGGGGCUGCAUUCCAAACUGGAUAUCUAGAGUGCAGGAGAGGAAAGCGGAAUUCCUAGUGUAGCGGUGAAAUGCGUAGAGAUUAGGAAGAACACCAGUGGCGAAGGCGGCUUUCUGGACUGUAACUGACGCUGAGGCACGAAAGCGUGGGUAGCAAACAGGAUUAGAUACCCUGGUAGUCCACGCCGUAAACGAUGGAUACUAGGUGUAGGGGGUAUCAACUCCCCCUGUGCCGCAGUUAACACAAUAAGUAUCCCGCCUGGGGAGUACGGUCGCAAGAUUAAAACUCAAAGGAAUUGACGGGGGCCCGCACAAGCAGCGGAGCAUGUGGUUUAAUUCGAAGCAACGCGAAGAACCUUACCUGGACUUGACAUCCCUUGCAUAGCCUAGAGAUAGGUGAAGC
This 584-nucleotide ribosomal RNA is filed under the name Clostridium botulinum. RNAcentral describes it as "bacterial SSU rRNA". It matches the Rfam family "Bacterial small subunit ribosomal RNA", at positions 416 to 1016 of the family's 1533-position model. The record is from RNAcentral. Lineage: Bacteria; Bacillati; Bacillota; Clostridia; Eubacteriales; Clostridiaceae.